Molecule: long non-coding RNA, 302 nt
Filed under: Mustela putorius furo (domestic ferret)
Lineage: Eukaryota; Metazoa; Chordata; Mammalia; Carnivora; Mustelidae
Description: lncRNA (ENSMPUG00000027033.1)
Source: RNAcentral
CGCCAUCACACCUCACCAGCUCCCUUGUAAAUGGUGCAGUUCUGCCAAGGUAGGGCCACAUUCACUCUUACUGGAAGAGCUGUGGUUUUAUAUCAAGCUGCUGAGACAAAGGAAAGAGAGAGAUAGUCCACAGAGCUCCCUAGCCCUGGACACAGAGAGGACACAGCAAGAAUGUGCAGGCUGUGAACCAGGAUGUCAGCCCUCACCAGAACAAGACCAUGCUGACACCUUGAUCUUGGACUUUCAGCCUCCAGAACUGUAAGCAAUAAAUUUCUGUUGUUUCUAAUUCACCCUGUAUCUGA